Molecule: ribosomal RNA, 482 nt
Filed under: Pseudomonas putida
Lineage: Bacteria; Pseudomonadati; Pseudomonadota; Gammaproteobacteria; Pseudomonadales; Pseudomonadaceae
Description: bacterial SSU rRNA
Rfam family: Bacterial small subunit ribosomal RNA
Source: RNAcentral
AUCCUGGCUCAGAUUGAACGCUGGCGGCAGGCCUAACACAUGCAAGUCGAGCGGAUGACGGGAGCUUGCUCCUUGAUUCAGCGGCGGACGGGUGAGUAAUGCCUAGGAAUCUGCCUGGUAGUGGGGGACAACGUUUCGAAAGGAACGCUAAUACCGCAUACGUCCUACGGGAGAAAGCAGGGGACCUUCGGGCCUUGCGCUAUCAGAUGAGCCUAGGUCGGAUUAGCUAGUUGGUGAGGUAAUGGCUCACCAAGGCGACGAUCCGUAACUGGUCUGAGAGGAUGAUCAGUCACACUGGAACUGAGACACGGUCCAGACUCCUACGGGAGGCAGCAGUGGGGAAUAUUGGACAAUGGGCGAAAGCCUGAUCCAGCCAUGCCGCGUGUGUGAAGAAGGUCUUCGGAUUGUAAAGCACUUUAAGUUGGGAGGAAGGGCAGUAAGUUAAUACCUUGCUGUUUUGACGUUACCGACAGAAUAAGCAC